CCAAGGAGUCUAACAUGUGCGCAAGUCAUUGGGUUAUAAAACCUAAAGGCGUAACAAAAGUAAAGUAAGCUUUGCUUUAUUAGGGAGGAUAGUUGUUAUUUAUUAAUAGCUCGCACUCCCGGGGCGUUAAUAAUUCAUUGCGAAUUAAGGCGCACCUAGAGCGUACAUGUUGGGACCCGAAAGAUGGUGAACUAUGCCUGGUCAGGAUGAAGCCAGGGGAAACCCUGGUGGAGGUCCGUAGCGAUUCUGACGUGCAAAUCGAUCGUCAGAGCUAGGUAUAGCGGCGUUAGACCAAUCGAACCAUCUAGUAGCUGGUUCCCUCCGAAGUUUCCCUCAGGAUAGCUGGUGCCAAUGAUGAUUUUGAGUCUCAUCUGGUAAAGCGAAUGAUUAGAGGUCUUGGGGUUGAAACGACCUCAACCUAUUCUCAAACUUUAAAUGGAUGAGAACUUUGGCUUUCUUAAAAAUGAAGCCAAGGAUUCGGAUCUAGGUACCAAGUGGGCCAAUUUUGG
This 509-nucleotide ribosomal RNA is filed under the name Pinochius sp. 17 SL-2016. Its description in RNAcentral is "eukaryotic LSU rRNA". It matches the Rfam family "Eukaryotic large subunit ribosomal RNA", at positions 666 to 1140 of the family's 3401-position model. Lineage: Eukaryota; Metazoa; Arthropoda; Insecta; Hemiptera; Schizopteridae. The record is from RNAcentral.